GUUAAGGAGGAGCACCCUGCCACCUAAAACUAGGAUGAGUUACUCUUCCUAGCUCUUGGGGUCAUUGCAAGCCYCAUCCGUUUGCACAAGAUGCCCCGAUGGCGGGGCAACACUUAAUUUAAAAAAACCUCCUUUUGAAAAUGUGCAAAGGCAGUGGAAAUGUGAGCUGCAAAUGUUUAAAAUACCAAUGGAAAAACUCUUAAGCUAGGUAUAUAUGUCACCUGUAGGGAUGACUACUACACGAAUGUUUGGAAAUACAGUGGCUGGUCCGGUUUACAACCUAUUUAAUUGCAAACUUCUUAUUUUGACCAAAAUUUACAUCUGCAGUGUUGUUUUAUUUGGAUCCUGUCAUAGUAGGACAUACUGUUGUCAGCUUGUUUCCAGCCUGGGAAGUACUGUAAGCAUCCCGUAUUCCUGUGGCCCAGCUAGCUUUUCUAUGGGAGAAACAUACCAGAAGAUCCUGCAGCUCUGCUUCAUUGUUGAAUCUGAGGUUCAGAGUGGACACCCUUAAUUCCUGAACUGAUGAGAGCUUAGGUGUGGCUAGUUCAAAUCUUUGACUCAGAUGUGGUUAACUGCUCCUAUUUAAAGGAUGUAAAAAUACCUAAAGCAUUCAACAGGACCUAAAGCACUCCCUUACACUUUUGUKUCUUCAUUCUCUGUAAAUCAUUCAGUAGUAAAUCAUUCCAGCUCAAUUCUACCUUGAUUUUCCUUUGUAUGUUUCAUCCAUAUAGUAAAAGAGUGAACCUUGCCAUCAGAUGUUUAAGUUCUGCUUUUACAAAUUCAUAUUAAACCAACUUUUUCUGUUGCAUUUGGUGGCAAUUCUUUAAGCAACCUAAACCAUUCAUUCAAUGCGGAGCUCUUAUGAAAUUCAUCAGAUAACCAGAGCAGAGGUAGAAGUAACAAUAUUGAGAAUUACAUGUCCUUGGUUUUCUCACUAUGUGAAAUCGAGUGAUAGAGCUUGUGUCAUGUCUUACCUGCAGCUCCACACCCUCUGUACAGACAGACAAAGGUUUUUCUUCAGAAAGAAAGGUUGCACUAUUUUUUAGAAGUUGUAGGUUGCUGAGUUGUUUGUUUACUGUUUCAGCUCUGUUGAAUACGCGUUUGUAAUCAGAAUAGAUGACAGCAGGAUUUCUUCUGCGCUGUGUCAGCCAGUCAUAUACAAAUGCCAUUUAUAAAGGGAUUCAGUGGAACCACAUGAUGUGAUCCUGAGUACAACCUGGCCUGUUGUACUUACUGAAAUGUCAUUUCAUGAUCCUUCCAGAUCAUGGAAUUGUUGUGCUGAUGCCAGGGAAGGGGAAAGGCCAUUCACAGCAAUAUCUCGCCUCACACAGUGUGCGUGCCUGGUUGCUAAUCUGUACGUGCACAGGUGGAAAAACCACUGGAAGGUUUCAUUACAUCUGUACAGAUAGUUCAGCAGCACAUGAACUGCCACCUUUAACUUGCAGGGAUAAAAAUGAGCUUGCCACACUUGAAUACUUGACCCUCCACUUCGAUGUGUUUCUGAACCUGUUAUCUUCUUUCAGCUUUCUGCAUUGUGGAAUUCUGUUCUAUUCAUUGGGAGUGAGUAACAUCCCCUUCAUGAAGUUAUUAUUCUGCUCUGCUUUUCUCUAUCUGUGAUAUGCUGAAAUGAUGUUUAAAGUGGACUGCAUGCUCCUGUAAUUUCUCUUCUGAAGCAAAAGCACAGCACUGAAAACAAAUUAACCAGGAAAAAAAAAAAAAGAGAAAAAAAAUCAACUAAAUCAACUAAAUACAAUGGAAUGAAAUUUUGGAAGAAAUAUGUCGACUGUGAUGGAAAGUAAAAGGAUACUAGAGUUGGAAAUGCAGAUGUUGCUGGCUCUGGGAUUGGUAUUGUGUUAGGUCUGAACUGGAGCGCAGUGUGCCUGGAACAAAAUGGUCAUUGCUGCUUAAAACUACUCGGACACAUUUCCCAUUAUGGCGAUCCUGGAGUGAGGUGGUCAUUGUGCCUGRAGGAAGACACAGGACAGCUUUAAUUCAGUAAAUUCUUAAUGCUACUUCUUAGGUGAUUUGUGAGUUGGGUAUCCUGUGUGAAAGACACUUCUUUUUUUACUUACUUACCACCAUUUCRCUAAACAGUCCUAAAUGGUACUGUCUUCCAGUUCUACAGUGACCUGAAAUCUCUGGGUCCAAGAGCUAUAUACUUUCUAAUACUGUAUUAUAAUAAGUAUUUCCUCUUCAGAAAUUAUUGCAUGAUUUUCACUUUUUAAAUGGACAUAAUUUUCAAUAAGCAUCUAGUGUGUUUGCUGCAUUUUGGUAAUUUUCUUGAAACUAGAUUGAUAAUUCCACUAGUAAAAUAUGUAUGCUCUUGAAAAUCAAWUAUACAGUAUUUCAGUUAUUUUUUAAAUUAUUAUAGCAUAUUUCUUGUAKUACUGUUAGCUAAUUAAUAUGUACAAACAUAACCAAUUUACAAACUUUGUUCUUUUGCACAUCAAGAGGAUAUUACACUGUUACUUAGCACUGAUAUUUUUGUGGCUACUCUCCAGGCCUCUGUGUCAUUAUCAUUUAAAUUCUUCAUCAGUUCAAAAGGGUUCAUUAGGUACUGGGAAUGAAAAUAGCAUCACUGCAGAAUCAGAUAUGCGUGUUGUAAUUGAUAUAUGAUUUUGACCUGUAGGAGUGGGUGUCAUUGUCACAGUAUUUCUGUAAGCAGGAAGAAAAGAGUCUGUUAACUAUCCAUCAACAGUUGUGUCCAAAGCUUAUGGUGUAAAAGUAGAGAACAAGCAGAGUGGCCAAGAAAAAGUAAGGAUAACAGAGUCUUAUUUGUGAGCUAAGCAAUGUUGACAGUGCAGAAAGUACAUAGAUUUACAUGCAGUUUUAAAAUUGAGCUAGAAAUUUAUCUAACUGCUAGAUAUUUCUGAAACGAUUACUGCAUUUCUGCUCUGAUAUUUAAAAAGGUUCUAACUGAGCUUGUCAGGUUGGUUAGUCCCACUAUGAAAACUAUAGUUUUAAUAUACUUUUAUGUGGUUUGAUAUUUUUGUUUGAUAUUUAUAUGUUUACAACAUUUU
Malurus melanocephalus (red-backed fairy wren) is the source of this 3020-nucleotide long non-coding RNA. RefSeq lists it as uncharacterized. Lineage: Eukaryota; Metazoa; Chordata; Aves; Passeriformes; Maluridae. The transcript is spliced from 3 exons. The record is from RefSeq and is a predicted model, not a curated record.